This 253-nucleotide ribosomal RNA is filed under the name uncultured bacterium. RNAcentral describes it as "partial 16S ribosomal RNA". It matches the Rfam family "Bacterial small subunit ribosomal RNA", at positions 524 to 776 of the family's 1533-position model. The record is from RNAcentral.
UACGAAGGGGGCUAGCGUUGCUCGGAAUUACUGGGCGUAAAGCGCGUGUAGGCGGCUUGGCAAGUCGGGUGUGAAAGCCCUGGGCUCAACCUAGGAAGUGCACUCGAAACUGCUUCGCUUGAGUGUCGGAGAGGAAAGCGGAAUUCUCGGUGUAGAGGUGAAAUUCGUAGAUAUCGAGAGGAACACCGGUGGCGAAGGCGGCUUUCUGGACGAUAACUGACGCUGAGACGCGAAAGCGUGGGGAGCAAACAGG